GACAUUUAUGUAUGUCCAGAAGAGGAGUCAGUCCUGAUGAGCUCAUUCGUCUCCACCCUGUCUGCUCUAUCAAUCAAACAAGUGGAAACAAAGAGGAGUUUGACCUCAGAGCAAUUAGACUGGACUGGUUGAGAUUGCAGGCCUACACAAGUGUGAACAAGGCCAAUCUUCCACUAAAGGACUACACUGAUUAGCGAAGGUGAUGAAACUGAUUCAGUUUCA
Larimichthys crocea (large yellow croaker) is the source of this 222-nucleotide long non-coding RNA. RefSeq lists it as uncharacterized. The record is from RefSeq and is a predicted model, not a curated record. The transcript has 3 exons. Lineage: Eukaryota; Metazoa; Chordata; Actinopteri; Sciaenidae.